GUGCGAGCGUUGUCCGGAAUUACUGGGCGUAAAGGGCUCGUAGGUGGUUUGGCGCGUCGUCUGUGAAAUUCCGGGGCUUAACUUCGGGCGUGCAGGCGAUACGGGCAUAACUUGAGUGCUGUAGGGGAGACUGGAAUUCCUGGUGUAGCGGUGAAAUGCGCAGAUAUCAGGAGGAACACCGAUGGCGAAGGCAGGUCUCUGGGCAGUAACUGACGCUGAGGAGCGAAAGCAUGGGGAGCGAACA
Molecule: ribosomal RNA, 244 nt
Filed under: uncultured bacterium
Lineage: Bacteria
Description: partial 16S ribosomal RNA
Rfam family: Bacterial small subunit ribosomal RNA
Source: RNAcentral